UAUUAUUAAUAUGUCGAUAUUAUAAUAUAAAAUAAAAUAAUAAAAUUAAACUAUAUAUAUAAAUUUGUAAUCAAGAUAAUUAUAUAUAAGAUAAUAUUAUAAAUUAUCUGUAAUGAUAGUAAUCUCCGGUUAGAAUAAUAGUGAUUUUCUAGAAUUAAGUGUGUGGUGGUUGAAUAUUAUAAUCUAACGAAUAGAAAUGAUUAAAGUGAUAGAUCUAAUUGUUGAAAAUUUAUAUUUAUAAGAGUACAGCUACGAUACUCAUAUAAUUAUACUAUUGAUGUGUUGAUAUUAUAGUAAUAGAAUAAUAAAAUUAUAAGGUAUCAUUAGUGAUAUUAUUUAAUAAUAAAUUAUAUUAUACUAU
This 361-nucleotide long non-coding RNA is filed under the name Ananas comosus (pineapple). RNAcentral's name for it is "long non-coding RNA (ACOM_LNC014355)". The record is from RNAcentral. Lineage: Eukaryota; Viridiplantae; Streptophyta; Magnoliopsida; Poales; Bromeliaceae.